RNAcentral lists this ribosomal RNA (253 nucleotides) under uncultured bacterium. RNAcentral describes it as "partial 16S ribosomal RNA". It matches the Rfam family "Bacterial small subunit ribosomal RNA", at positions 524 to 776 of the family's 1533-position model. The record is from RNAcentral.
UACGGGGGGGGCAAGCGUUGUUCGGAAUUACUGGGCGUAAAGCGCGUGUAGGCGGCCAUGCAAGUACUUUGUGAAAUCCCUCGGCUCAACCGGGGAAUUGCUUGGUAUACUGCAGGGCUUGAGGCGGGUAGGGGUGCUUGGAACUCUAGGUGGAGCGGUGAAAUGCGUAGAUAUCUAGAGGAACGCCUGUGGCGAAAGCGGAGCACUGGGCCCGUCCUGACGCUAAGACGCGAAAGCGUGGGUAGCAAACGGG